CGACCGGCGCACGGGUGAGUAACACGUAUGCAACCUGCCCUCUUCAGGGGGACAACCUUCCGAAAGGGAGGCUAAUCCCGCGUAUAUCGGUUUCGGGCAUCCGAGAUCGAGGAAAGAUUCAUCGGAAGAGGAUGGGCAUGUGGCGCAUUAGCUAGACGGCGGGGUAACGGCUCACCGUGGCGACGAUGCGUAGGGGUUCUGAGAGGAAGGUCCCCCACACUGGUACUGAGACACGGACCAGACUCCUACGGAAGGCAGCAG
This 261-nucleotide ribosomal RNA is filed under the name uncultured bacterium. Its description in RNAcentral is "partial 16S ribosomal RNA". It matches the Rfam family "Bacterial small subunit ribosomal RNA", at positions 92 to 354 of the family's 1533-position model. The record is from RNAcentral.